RNAcentral lists this ribosomal RNA (371 nucleotides) under uncultured bacterium. RNAcentral describes it as "bacterial SSU rRNA". It matches the Rfam family "Bacterial small subunit ribosomal RNA", at positions 525 to 895 of the family's 1533-position model. The record is from RNAcentral.
GUCMSCGGUGCAAGCGUUAAUCGGAAUUACUGGGCGUAAAGCGUGCGCAGGCGGCUCCUUAAGUCAGAUGUGAAAUCCCCGGGCUUAACCUGGGAACUGCGUUUGAAACUGGGGGGCUUGAGUGUGGAAGAGGGGGGUGGAAUUCCAGGUGUAGCAGUGAAAUGCGUAGAGAUCUGGAGGAACACCGAUGGCGAAGGCAGCCCCCUGGGCUAACACUGACGCUCAUGCACGAAAGCGUGGGGAGCAAACAGGAUUAGAUACCCUGGUAGUCCACGCCGUAAACGAUGUCGAUUUGGAGGCUGUGUCCUUGAGACGUGGCUUCCGGAGCUAACGCGUUAAAUCGACCGCCUGGGGAGUACGGCCKSAAGGUU